Molecule: non-coding RNA, 466 nt
Organism: Cucurbita pepo subsp. pepo (vegetable marrow)
Lineage: Eukaryota; Viridiplantae; Streptophyta; Magnoliopsida; Cucurbitales; Cucurbitaceae
Source: RefSeq, a predicted model, not a curated record
AUUAUACAUAACCAACUUGACACCGGUUUAGCUGAAUAUUUUUAUAACCAAUACUUGACGAUUCAUCGGUGUCUGCUCCAUGUAGAAUAGCUUGUUUACAAGCCUCUUGGGGGUCUUGACUUCACCUAUCCAGAAGAUUCAAAAUAAUCUAGGCAGAGCUUUCUUUUGCCAUGGUAAACCUUAUUUUACUCUCAGAUAUGUGCUUGUUCUGAACAUACGAGAAAAAUACCAACGAACGAACGUAUACGUGCUUUGCACAAACUAGUGUAGUGUAGGUACACUGCGUGUAAAUUACAACGAAAGUUUGUUCUGUCCUUUCCUGUUAUGGAAACUCGACCAAAUUAUUGUUUCGCGAGAACCAGAGCAGCAGAUUUAUCUGCUUUCAUGCAGGAUGGGAAGGGGAAAAAAAAAAAAAAAGUCUCGAACAAGCAAUUUCCAACUCGUCAAAAGGAAAAAAGGAAAAAAG